This 148-nucleotide small RNA is filed under the name Macaca fascicularis (crab-eating macaque). RNAcentral's name for it is "Metazoan signal recognition particle RNA (ENSMFAG00000049494.1)". Lineage: Eukaryota; Metazoa; Chordata; Mammalia; Primates; Cercopithecidae. The record is from Rfam by way of RNAcentral.
GCUGGGCAUGGUGGUGGGUGCCUGUAAUCCCAGCUACUUGGGAGGCUGAGACAGGAGAAUCACUUGAACCCAGGAGGUGGAGGUUGCAGUGAGCCGAGAUUGUGCCAUUGCACUCUAGCCUGGGUGACAGAGCGAGACUCUGUCUCAA